GAUGAACGCUGGCGGCGUGCCUAAUACAUGCCAGUCGAGCGAACAGACGAGGAGCUUGCUCCUCUGACGUUAGCGGCGGACGGGUGAGUAACACGUGGAUAACCUACCUAUAAGACUGGGAUAACUUCGGGAAACCGGAGCUAAUACCGGAUAAUAUAUUGAACCGCAUGGUUCAAUAGUGAAAGGCGGUUUUGCUGUCACUUAUAGAUGGAUCCGCGCCGCAUUAGCUAGUUGGUAAGGUAACGGCUUACCAAGGCGACGAUGCGUAGCCGACCUGAGAGGGUGAUCGGCCACACUGGAACUGAGACACGGUCCAGACUCCUACGGGAGGCAGCAGUAGGGAAUCUUCCGCAAUGGGCGAAAGCCUGACGGAGCAACGCCGCGUGAGUGAUGAAGGUCUUCGGAUCGUAAAACUCUGUUAUUAGGGAAGAACAAAUGUGUAAGUAACUAUGCACGUCUUGACGGUACCUAAUCAGAAAGCCACGGCUAACUACGUG
Molecule: ribosomal RNA, 497 nt
Filed under: uncultured bacterium
Lineage: Bacteria
Description: partial 16S ribosomal RNA
Rfam family: Bacterial small subunit ribosomal RNA
Source: RNAcentral